AGAGUAAGAAGGUUAUAAUUAGUUCAUAGUGAAAUGUAAAUGCUGAUGCAGAUGUAACCAUUAUCGGAAGUGCAAACGGUUAUAAUUAGUUCAUAGUGAAAUGUAAAUAUUUAUGUGUAAUAUUUUAUCUAAUAAUCUAUUGAGUUAUAAUUAGUUCAUAGUGAAAUGUAAAUUCGCUUAUAGAAAACGCGUUAACAGACGCAAGAGUGUUAUAAUUAGUUCAUAGUGAAAUGUAAAUUGUGGAACUAUCAAAUGCGGAAUAUAUCCAAUAAGUGUUAUAAUUAGUUCAUAGUGAAAUGUAAAUGCUGACAAUGUAGCAAGCUACAGUUUAACACGACCGUUAUAAUUAGUUC
Molecule: small RNA, 353 nt
Filed under: human gut metagenome
Description: Listeria sRNA rliB
Source: RNAcentral